UGGGGGAUAUUGCACAAUGGGCGAAAGCCUGAUGCAGCAACGCCGCGUGAGGGAAGACGGUCUUCGGAUUGUAAACCUUUAGCUUUGGGGAAGAAACAAAUGACGGUACCCAAAGGGGCAGCCACGGCUAACUACGUGCCAGCAGCCGCGGUAAUACGUAGGUGGCAAGCGUUGUCCGGAAUUACUGGGUGUAAAGGGAGCGCAGACGGGGAGACAAGUCAGCUGUGAAAACUAUGGGCUUAACCCAUAGAUUGCAGUUGAAACUGUUUUUCUUGAGUGGAGUAGAGGUAGGCGGAAUUCCGAGUGUAGCGGUGAAAUGCGUAGAUAUUCGGAGGAACACCAGUGGCGAAGGCGGCUUUCUGGACUGUCACUGACGCUGAGGCACGAAAGCGUGGGGAGCAAACA
Molecule: ribosomal RNA, 405 nt
Filed under: uncultured prokaryote
Description: bacterial SSU rRNA
Rfam family: Bacterial small subunit ribosomal RNA
Source: RNAcentral